This 781-nucleotide unclassified non-coding RNA is filed under the name Agrilus planipennis (emerald ash borer). RNAcentral describes it as "down syndrome cell adhesion molecule homolog, transcript variant X1". The record is from RNAcentral. Lineage: Eukaryota; Metazoa; Arthropoda; Insecta; Coleoptera; Buprestidae.
GUUAAUCAGUAUUUCGAAGCGCAGGUCUACGACGUUUUUGUUAUUAAAGGAAACACAGCUGUCUUUAAGUGUCAAAUUCCAUCAUUCGUCUCCGAUCAUGUCGAUGUGAUUUCCUGGCAGGAUACGGCCAAUAAUUAUUACAAUCCUCCCACUGACGACUACGACAGCAAAUACUUGGUUUUACCGUCUGGUGAACUUCAUAUCAGAGAUGUUGGACCCGAAGAUGGAUACAAAUCAUACCAGUGUCGUACGAAACAUAGGCUUACUGGUGAAACAAGACUUAGUGCCACCAAAGGUCGUUUGGUCAUCACUGGUAAGUCUUUUUGCAACUGUUUUAUAUUUAAACAACAGGUGGAAUAACAAUUGAUACGCUUGCAAUAAUCGUAAUUAAAGGCAGAUAUCAAUAUCUCCUGGGGUUCUUUAGGUAUCGGUCACGAAAAAAUUGUCGCUUUCGUUUUCAACGAUAUUUUUUAUAUUGCAUGUUUGAAGUAAUAGUGAAAUUGUAUGUUUCCUGUUGCUUAUUUGGAUUAAAGGUUGGCGUGAUGGAAUAUAUUAUUCCUCCCUUUUAGCUUGAUUAUUACGUACGUUGUUUUUCACCGAACGGUAAUAAAUUUUUAUUCAGGUAAAAUAUGACCUAAAUUAAACAAAAUUACUAUUGGAAUUUACCCAGUCUUGCUAAUCAAUUUAUUAUCCCUACACACAAACACGGCUAUAAAUAAUGCAAAUGUAAUGUUUCGCAAAGAAGUAUAACUCGAAUUAUUGAUAAUAAAUAAAGGGCAGA